CCUACGGGUGGCAGCAGUGAGGAAUAUUGGUCAAUGGCCGCGAGCCUGAACCAGCCAAGUAGCGUGAAGGAUGACUGCCCUACGGGUUGUAAACUUCUUUUAUAAAGGAAUAAAGUGAGGCACGUGUGCCUUUUUGUAUGUACUUUAUGAAUAAGCAUCGGCUAACUCCGUGCCAGCAGCCGCGGUAAUACGGAGGAUCCGAGCGUUAUCCGGAUUUAUUGGGUUUAAAGGGAGCGUAGGUUGGUUGUUAAGUGAGUUGUGAAAGUUUGGGGCUUAACCGUAAAAUUGCAAUUGAUACUGGCAGUCUUGAGUACAGUCGAGGUAGGCGGAAUACGUGGUGUAGCGGUGAAAUGCUUAGAUAUCACGAAGAACUCCGAUAGCGAAGGCAGCUUACUAAACUGCCACUGACAUUGAUGCUCGAGAGCGUGGGUAGCAAACAGGAUUAGAUACCCGAGUAGUC
This 460-nucleotide ribosomal RNA is filed under the name uncultured bacterium. RNAcentral's name for it is "partial 16S ribosomal RNA". It matches the Rfam family "Bacterial small subunit ribosomal RNA", at positions 338 to 795 of the family's 1533-position model. The record is from RNAcentral.